AGAGUUUGAUCAUGGCUCAGAACGAACGCUGGCGGCAUGCCUAACACAUGCAAGUCGAACGCAGGGUUUCGGUUCGCUGGGGCUCUGAGUGGCGCACGGGUGAGUAGCGCGUGGGAACCUGCCUUUCAGUGGGGGAUAACCGCGGGAAACUGCGGCUAAUACCGCCUACGCCCGGUGAGCGAUCAUCGGGGAAAGAUUUA
RNAcentral lists this ribosomal RNA (200 nucleotides) under uncultured bacterium. RNAcentral's name for it is "partial 16S ribosomal RNA". It matches the Rfam family "Bacterial small subunit ribosomal RNA", at positions 8 to 211 of the family's 1533-position model. The record is from RNAcentral.